This 113-nucleotide ribosomal RNA is filed under the name Capra hircus (goat). The record is from RNAcentral. Lineage: Eukaryota; Metazoa; Chordata; Mammalia; Artiodactyla; Bovidae.
GUCUAUGGGCAUACUGCCCUGAAUGUGCCCAAUCUCAUCUGAUCUCAGAAGCUAAGCACAGUUGGGCCUGGUUAGCACUUAGUACACGGGUGGGAGAAAAGGCUUCUAUUACA